ACGAAAUGCCUCCUUGACAUGGCUGGUGAGUGUUUAAUUGGCUGGGGAUGGGUGACUGAGAUGAACGGCAUCUGCUGCCACACAGAGUUUCACUUACCCUCUGGCAGCGCUCACCCUCAGUCAGCAUCUCUCAGUGACUUUCCGGGUACCAACCAGGCCAUGUUAGACCCCUUUAGGUCAUUUGUCCUUCUCACGACCCUAGCUUGAGUGCGAGCAGAAACUCUGUAAGUGAUCACUGCCUUUUGAUUUCAGGCUACAGACUAUCCUAUGACCCCUUCUCUGAAGCUGUCUAUGAAGAGAUCGACUAUAACCUGAUGAAGGAAAAGCAGGGCAUGACUGGCUUCUCAGGUCUGUAUGUCUUGCUCUUGCCUAGGGAAAAUUCCUCCUGGUGGGCCAGAUCCCAGUGUGGUACCUUGCAGCUCCCAAAUCUACAGGGAAACUGAAAACUCCUAGAUCUGAAGAGAGGGGUUUCCUCCCCACUGGAUUCCACCAAUUCCUCUCCUAGGAACAAUUCAUUUUGCACUGCCCUUGCCACAGCCAUAAAGCACAGAUCAGUAUAGGUCAAACAACCAACCAAAACACAAACAACUCUUGCUGCAAUUAUUUAAAGUAGGAACAUAUAAAGGAAUAAUUUUUAUCUCCCUCCCAGCAACUAUAUGUUCCUGUAAGCUUCCUCCUCUGGAUCGCUUUUCUCCCUUCAUGGCUCACCUCCUCCAUGAGACACAGAGGUGUUAUGGGGCCCUUGAAGGAUUCUUGGCUAUUCCUCUGUAAACCCUUUACUUUGUAGGAAUAAAACUGACUGCCCGAGAACCUGUUGGACUUGGAUGGUAUAUACAUGAGAUCUCUUUUCCUCAUGAAGUCCUAGCAGCUAAGGAGGGUUUAAUCUGAUAUCACACUCUUUCUCAUUUGCCUAGAUUCUUAUUCAGAGACUUCAAAAACAAAGGCACAGUUUUAUAGUGGGGACAGUGAUGAAGAAAAUGGUCCUGGAGCAACUCAAGAGGUCUCUCCACUGCCUGAAAAUGCCCCGGAAGAUAGUUAUGAUGAUGCAACAGAAGCUCCUGGACCUAAAGAUGCUCCUUUUUCUGAGCAAAAUGAUCAGGAAAUCAUUGGGAUCCCUGAACAAAGUGACAGAAAGAAGGAUUCACAGACAGGUGAGGCCAGAAGAGCAGGCUGUUG
This 1176-nucleotide long non-coding RNA is filed under the name Amazona collaria (yellow-billed parrot). RNAcentral describes it as "lncRNA (ENSACOG00000010352.1)". The record is from RNAcentral. Lineage: Eukaryota; Metazoa; Chordata; Aves; Psittaciformes; Psittacidae.